Molecule: RNA transcript, 2436 nt
Organism: Zalophus californianus (California sea lion)
Lineage: Eukaryota; Metazoa; Chordata; Mammalia; Carnivora; Otariidae
Gene: CCNE1
Gene name: cyclin E1
Exons: 13
Source: RefSeq, a predicted model, not a curated record
GGGCCGGGGGCCGGUUCCGCGCGCAGGGAUUUUUAAAUGUCCCGCUCUUAGCCGGGCGCAGGAGCAGCCGGCUCGGCCGCCAGCGCGGUGUAGGGGGCAGGCGCGGAUCCCGCCACCGCCGCGCGCUCGGCCCGCCGCUGCCUCCCGCCUCCCGCCUCCCGGCUUCCCGCUCGCCUCUGCCUCCUGCCUCCUGCCUCCUGCCUCCGGCCUCGGCUCGUGCCGCCUGCCUGCCGCGGAGACGGCUUCGGGCCUGAAACUUGAUCCCACGCCCCAAGCCAUGCCGAGGGAGAGGAGGGAGAGGGAUGCAAAGGAACGGGACACCAUGAAGGAGGAAAGUGGCACAGAUGUCUCUGUUCGCUCCAGGAAAAGGAAGGCAAAUGUGGCUGUUUUUUUGCAGGAUCCAGAUGAAGAAAUUGCAACACUUGACAGGACUGUGAGAAGCCAUUGCAGCAGUCAGCCUUGGGACGGUAAUUCUGUGUGUGAAAACCCCUGCUCCUUGAUUCCCACACCGGACAAAGAAGAGGAUGAGCCAGCAUACCCAAGUUCCGCGUGUGGACCGCAGAGUUUCAUGCCCUCCAGAGCCUCACCACUGCCUAUACUGAACUGGGCAAAUAGAGAUGAGGUCUGGAAAAUUAUGCUAAACAAGGAAAAGACAUACUUAAGGGAUAAGCACUUUAUGCAGCGGCACCCUCUCCUGCAGCCUAAGAUGCGAGCAAUUCUUCUGGAUUGGUUAAUGGAGGUGUGCGAAGUCUAUAAACUUCACAGAGAGACAUUUUACUUGGCACAGGAUUUCUUUGAUCGGUAUAUGGCAACACAACAAAAUAUUGUUAAAACACUUUUACAGCUUAUUGGGAUUUCAUCUUUAUUUAUUGCUGCCAAACUUGAGGAAAUCUAUCCUCCAAAGCUACACCAGUUUGCUUAUGUUACAGAUGGGGCUUGUUCGGGAGAGGAAAUUCUUAGCAUGGAAUUAAUCAUUAUGAAGGCCCUUAAGUGGCACUUAAGUCCCCUGACCAUUGUGUCCUGGCUGAAUGUAUAUAUGCAGGUUGCAUAUCUAAAUGACUUAUAUGAAGUGCUCCUGCCACAGUAUCCCCAGCAAAUCUUCAUACAGAUCGCAGAGCUUUUAGAUCUUUGUGUCCUGGAUGUUGGCUGCUUAGAAUUUCCCUAUGGUGUACUUGCUGCUUCUGCCUUGUAUCAUUUCUCUUCAUCUGAAUUGAUGCAAAAGGUUUCAGGGUAUCAAUGGUGUGAUAUAGAGAAGUGUGUCAAGUGGAUGGUUCCAUUUGCCAUGGUUAUAAGGGAGACAGGGAGCUCAAAACUUAAGCACUUCAGGGGAGUUCCUGCUGAAGAUGCGCACAACAUCCAGACCCACAUAAACAGCUUGGAUUUGCUGGACAAAGCCCAAGCAAAGAAAGCCAUAUUGUCUGAACAAAAUAGGAUUUCUCCUCUCCCCACCGGGGUCCUCACUCCCCCACAGAGCAGUAAGAAGCAGAGCAGUGAGCAGGGGACCGCGUGACCACACCAGCAUCCUCCACCAAAGACAGUUGUGCAGAAGUGCCCGCUCCAAGUUCCCUGCUGCAUACUGGGGCGGAGGCCCACACAGUGGCUGCGCAGGUGGGGCUUGCCGGCAGGCGGUGACAGUACUGGGGAGCACGUGUCUGCAUCCAAGAGGAUUCUUAGGUAUGAUGUCCACUCCACGACAGGCCAGAGGUCAUAAAGCAUCUGUAAUAAGUGUUACUCAACACCCUUUUUGUCCUUACCCAAAUCUUAACCUAAAGAACUUUUGUUGGGAGAACUUGUUAACAUAAUGUAGUAGCCUAAAACCAAACUUGGAAGAAGAAAAUGUAAAAUAAAAUGAUAUGUAGCUCAAGGCCAGAUGUCGGUGCACGGUCUGAACCUUGACCACUGAUGGAUCACCAAAUGCCUUGCCCAUGGAAGGAGUACCUGUCCACUUGGAGGCCUAAUGUGUACAUUUCACGAUGCAUUUUGUCAAGCAUUCUCAUCAUGGUGGUCUUGUGUGUUGCACUUCCUUACAACGCUUUGGUUUAUGUUAUGGGUUCAGAAAAAGGGAGGGUGAAUGAGCAAACAAACCCACUUAUUUUCAACUUGGUAUUUUAUCUCAUUUUGCAAAACCCUGUCUCAAUAGAAAAACAGCCAUUUAAAAAUCUGUAUCAUAUUUAUAUGAAAUCGGAGAGAGACCCUACUCCACAUUGUGAUGCUAUAGUUCUGGCAAGUUUUAAUAUGGUGUUCCAAAUAAAUGCAUUAUAAAUCUACAUGUCCUGGUAUUUAGUCAGAUGGUACUCUGAGCUAAUUAUUUCCUCAUCUCAGGCAGAGAUGCUCCCACCUUAAAAAGCAAUGAAUUUUUAAUGGUGACCAUUCGUAAGUGGCUUGUUGGAAAAAUCCUAUAAGUGGUUAACUUACAUUUGGCAUUUUCUAUGCAAA